This 59-nucleotide transfer RNA is filed under the name Tistrella mobilis. RNAcentral describes it as "tRNA-Ser". It matches the Rfam family "tRNA", at positions 17 to 71 of the family's 71-position model. From Rfam's summary of the family: Transfer RNA (tRNA) molecules are approximately 80 nucleotides in length. The record is from RNAcentral. Lineage: Bacteria; Pseudomonadati; Pseudomonadota; Alphaproteobacteria; Geminicoccales; Geminicoccaceae.
GGUAGAGCACAACCUUGCCAAGGUUGGGGUCGAGGGUUCGAAUCCCUUCUCCCGCUCCA